GUUUAUUAUUAUGCAUAACAAUAUUCUAGACAAAAAAAUAUUUAAGAUUAUUAAAUCUUCUAGUGGUUAAGGAUCUGCCUUUUCUGUUUCCCAAACCCUGGAGACAGAGCUAUAACCUCAUCAUUUCACCUCUCUCAAACAGAUAAUUCUUGGGUAAAGAGGGGAAGCAAAGUGUUGUAUAAAUUGCUGCUGUGUGCAGGUGACUGAACUUGGAAGGGUCGAGAAGCACCGUAGUAGGAAAUACAGAUUUUCCCUGACAGUUUGGUGAGGACUAGAGAAGACGUUGAGCAGUCUCAGCACUGGAUAAAGAGGCUUAAGAAAUAUACAGUCGGAAAACAAUUUUAACUCCUGAUUUAGAAGGUAUAGAGAAGUUCAAUCAUCUGGUGAGAUUAAUACUUCUCAGAAAGGCCUAAUGAUUGCCAUAAAAUAGUUCUCACUCUCGGUUCCCCUGCAACAGAAGCUCUUUGCUCAGAAGGAAACUUAUCUCAAUGAGUGGAAACACCCCACGCAGUUAUGCGCCCUCAGUUGAUCUGGCACUGCCCUGAGAAUGCCUUAUAAUGGGCAAAUGGAGAAAAGGAUGCAGCCUUCCCUUCACUUCCCACACCCAGCAGAAAGGGGAGGAUUACCUGCCAGUUGAGAGCAAGCUUUGGAGUUGGUCCAAAGCCAGGCCUGACACCUCUAAACUGACCCCACAAGCCUUUGGUGUAACUUGGCCUGGUGGCCUGGUGGCAUGAGAAAACACAUUAUUUUACAAAUCCUCAACCAAAGCAGACUUAAUCUGCAAAGCAAGAGUUGGUAGAUGGAGAGAUGCAGAUCUCUCUUUAAAUUAUUCAAAGGAUGCCCUGGCUGGGGCUUCUGUAACAGGAGGGGCAACACCACUUCAGGCCUACUCAUGGGCUUUCAUGCUCUGGAAGCAGAAGGAGCAAACAUCUGGCUAGAAUCUUGGCAAAGAUUUAUAUAGGUGCCUGCCUUACGCCAGGUAGUGGGCUAGCUCAUUGACUGUUCAUCACACUGCCACUGCCCUCUCUGUGGACGGAGACUUCCCAGGUAGGCCUGGGAUUCAGGCCUGUGCCUUAAACCAUUGUGCAUCACUGUCUCAGGAUGCUGAGUUUUAGCUUGAGGUCUUGCUCUCCCUAGCCACUAACAUCCCCAUGAAAUAUAAAAUGAGCAUUUCUGGCUGUAUAUGUGAAAGCAACUUAGUAGAAGCCACUCCUCAGGAGGCCUGAAAAGUGAGAGAAAAGGACUACCAGCUUAAGAGGGCAGGGUGUAGGGUUCAGGGAAAAAUGCCAGACAUACCUAUUUUGGGUUUGGAUGAGGACAAGCUGUUUCUUUGUGCUUUGUUCUGAAGACUUUUCUAGUGUAUAGAGCCUGUCCUUAUGACUUAAGAGUAUUUCAUUCAGCAGUAACCCAAGGGUGUUUCUGGUAAUAAGGAAAAAAAACAAAACACUUUUGAAAGUUAUGAGUGUGAAUUAUCUUAAGUGGGCAUCCUUAUAGUCCGGACAUGAAAGAUUUUAAAUUCAAGGCCACGUGCUUUGAUCUGACCCUAUUUCAUAAUAGCACAGCCAAGAGCGACUAGCCAAACCCUGGAAGAAAUAGGUACUUUGAAUUUUGGAGUAGCUGGUGGUUAAUUUCAAACCAAACCACUGCUGAAGUAAAGAUGCAGGUAACAAGUCUGCUUUUCCAGAGAAUUCUUCAUGGGUAGAGCACCCCAUCGUGCUCUUAUUAAGGAUUGAACUCCCGUUUGAGAUUGCAAGUGAACUGAGAGCCAGAAUUCUGGGUGCCUGGUGGUAUCACCAAAAAGGUGUGUGACCUUGGGGCACCCAUAUCACUUCUCAUCUUUGUUUCCCUAUUGAAAACAUGAACUUAUACACAAAUCUAAAAAACACACACUUGGACAUUCACAUGGAAACCAUAAAAACUAUGAACAUGUCAACCACACACAUGGUGUUGCUUAGAAAUGCCCUUUGGGUCCUAUAGAUGCAAUUGAAUUCCAGUAAGGACAGUCUCUAGUCUCAUUGUCUUCUAUUGGAUGGAUGUCUGCUUGGGGGUAAUGACCACACAGCUUACCAAACCCCUAUCACUAAAAGCAGCCAGCCCUUUUGGAAAAGGGUUAUCUUGUGGCUCUGACAUCUUGGAAUAUUGGGGUGAAUGGCUGAUCAUGGCCACCCAAGAAGACAUUCUUCUGCUUAUUCUUUAAAUGUUAAAUGACCUUGUUUCUUGAGAUGCUUUGGUGGCAUUCCAGAAAGUGCUCUGGAAGUGGUUAUCACGCUAGAGGUUAUGCCUCAUUUGUGGCUAACUGUGGUGUUAGAUGAGAAAAGUCACCUCUCUCAAUAUUAGAAAUUAUUAACUCCACGAAGUGAAUCAUCCAGACCUAGCUGUGCUAUUCACCUAACUUUUCUUCUUUAAAUGAAAAGAUGCAUGAAACCACCUUUGGUUAUUGAAUUUGUCUCCUAAGAAGAAAAAGCUUCUAGCUCAGCUUUAAUUAUAGCUCUUUCCAUGCUCCUGGCUUAAUUAAAUUUGCCUUACUCCAAGGAAGGGGAAAGCACAUAUGGUUUGUAGUAGUACUAUUUGUAUUUUGAUUACUUGGGAAAAGCCAGGUAAAUAACGCACACUGUUGCUCUUGGAGUAGCUGUACUGUGCAGGUAGUGGCAAGCUGUGCGUUGUGGCCCCUUUUUCAUUGAGGUAUAGUCCUGCCCUCUUUUGAGCUGAUUCCCAGAAGCCCAAGACAGAGAGACCUACCCUUACUUUCAGUGCCUCACCUUUGUCCAGCCUCCUGGGCCCUCUCGCUUUGCAGUGUCUGCAGCAAUGUGUCAGAUUUCUGGGGAACUGACCAAAGCAGCUCUCUGGAAAGAAGCCAGGCCUGAGCCCUGAAGGGAAGUGGUAGCUAAGGUGACCUUGACUAGAGCAUUGUCUCCUCUGAUAUGUUCCUAGUGGAGCUGGAGGGAAUAGCCUUGAAAACCCCAUGUUGUUUCCCUCUGAUGGGGGAUGGAGGGAACAGAACCUUCUGGCACUGGCCCAUUUUAUGGAGAAUUGCUGAGAGUCUUAUGGAGAAACUUUAAGUCAGGUGCUUGGUCCUCGUGUGUUAAAUUAUUCUAUCCCUUCGAAAGCAGAGGAUACUUGAGAAUUCAACUUUCCAUAUCCCCCCACUAUGACAUUUGAUGGGGACUGGUUUUUCCAUCUUGUGAACAGAAGAAUUCAGACGAAUAUUGUCAAAUUCAAAUUUCACUAAAAUACUUUGUUUCAAUUUCUCCAUUUGCAAAUGACAUCUUUUGGGGUUUGGGUUUUUUUUUGUUUUGGUGGGGGUUUUUUGGCUAUGAAUAACACAUUAGGCCUCAAUUUGAGGGGCAAAAAGCCAUGGCUUGACCUCUUUAUCAUUAGUUUAGCAAAUAUUUAUUCAGCACCUCUAGUGUACAAGUCCCUGGGCUGGGUUCUGUGGGUGCAGGAGCCAUAGUCCCCACCUCUGUGAGCUUACCAAAGGGAGCAAAACAGACCCUUUAACAAAGGGCUGAAAGGAGGAGCAUAUGAGCACAUACCACAAGCUCACAAGGGUGAGCUUAGAGGAAGAAGGAUAGACUUCAGGCUGGAGUGCUCAAGCAAACGAUCACGAAGAGAAUUUUAACCAAGCUUUGAAGGUAGAUAGGAUUUUUAGAGCUAGAGAUGGGGGUACCUGGGUGCAGACAGCACUCAGGUUGAAAAGAAUAAGUUCAUGGUCACUGCUAACUUCAUUGUGUUUGUCCCAUGUGCCAGCUUGGGUAGGAUAAGCAUUUGUACACUCCAUGCAUCUCAUUUAUUUCUCAGGGCAGCCUGAAGAGGUGGGACUGCUAUUUUUGUCCUGUUUGGGGAAUGAAGAAACAGGUGUAUAGAGAUCGACAUACUUUGUCUAAGGUCACCUAGCUAAAAUGUGGGAUGCUAGGAUUUAACCUCCUCCUGGCUAGUGCCCAAACCUGUGCUCUGUGCCCUUGGCCAUAUCGAGGUGGGUGAGGAGUGGCAUGCUUGGAGAAGGAAAGGGGGCCCGUCUGACUUUAGGUCAGGGAGCAGGGGAAGUCAGCUUGGGGGAGUGUGUGGAAGAAUGUGAAUGCUUUGCCUAGGGUUUGGGAUUGGGUUCUGAAGGCACUGAGAGUCUGAAGGGUUUUAAACCCAGAAUUCAGUGGUUUGGGAGACCCUGGGGCCCCAGUGGAAGUGCUGAGUGGCAGUGGUGAGCAAGGGAGAGAUGCCUGGUUGGCAGGGAGUCUCUACUAGGAGAUCAGGAUGGCGGGCCCCGGGGCAGUUUGAAAUGGCACUGGACGGAUGAGAGCUUCUGGUUGGUGUACCUGCUUCACGUUUCAGUGCUGGGGAAGUUCAUCCACCCAAGACCUGAAGUUCUUGAGCUUCUAGAGAUGGUGGGUAUUUUAGAUAAGGAUACUUUCCCCCAUUUAAAGGAAAAGGGACAAAUGGAAUUUAAAGGUAAUUAAGGAGCAAGGCAAUCCAACCUGGCUGCCUUGUGAAAGACAUUUUGAAAGAAAGGCAUGUGUCCCUUCUGCUGGAGUUAACAGACCCUUCCUCAGUCAUAGUGGCUGCAGGAUUACAGGGAAAGAUUAGUCCUCUUCUUCCUCAGAGAGCUCCCUUGCUUUUCCCCUCUACCACCAAGGCAGGCAUUCAUGGAUGCAGCCAUCUUUCAUUUUGUACGCGCGCGCGCGCGCACGCACACACACACACACACACACACACACACACACCCCAUUCUGUUCUCAAGUUGGCAAAAGCAAGCCAACCCAGGGUAUCUCAAGACACUAUAAACCAAAAUAGUAGCUGGAAAACAGUGAUGGUAGGUCCUAGAAUUUUAAAUGAAUAAGAUGCUAAAAUUUCAAAAAUAUGUCCUAGAUACAUGAGGACACUGUUAAUAAAUUUCAGUAAGGCUAUCGUUGUAAAUGUAUCUUUUAAAUGGCAUAAAUUUAUCUUCAUGAAGAACUUUGCUGUAUUGUCCUUACUUUUUAUCAUUUUCAGGAGUCCUGUGAAAAUCUCAUCGAGAACCAUUAGUUCCUUUCUGUAUCGUCCAGCCACAGAAGAGAAUUCAUUGGUUCUUUCAGGGGGUCAAAGGAAAGGCAGCAGCUCUUCUGAGGGCACACAUGCCAACACCACUGACUCCCAACCCCUCUUGGGGUUCAGGCUUUGUGUCUUGAUUCUUGGAACUUGAAAUAAGGUCUGCAUGUGGUGUGCUUCACUGGCUGUGACUUAAGAGGACAAUAGACCUUAUAAAUUACCUUGUGGAUGUUGGUUUUUCAAAGAUAGUGCAGUGUAGGGGCACCUAGGUGGCUCAUUCGGUAGGCAUCCGACUUCGGCUUAGGUCAUGAUCUCUCAUUCUGUGAGUUCGAGCCCCACAUUGGGCUCUGUGCUGACAGCUCAGAGCCUGGAGCCUGCUUCAGAUUCUAUGUCCCCCUCUCUCUCUGCCCCUCCCCCAGUCACACUUGGUCUCUCUCUCUCAAAAA
This is a long non-coding RNA of Acinonyx jubatus (cheetah), 5465 nucleotides long. RefSeq lists it as uncharacterized. The record is from RefSeq and is a predicted model, not a curated record. The transcript is spliced from 2 exons. NCBI's taxonomy places the organism in Eukaryota, Metazoa, Chordata, Mammalia, Carnivora, Felidae.